GGCUUUUCAGGGGGAUUUGGGGUUCCCGGGGGAGAUUUGGGGAUCCGGGGGGUUCCCAGGCCCCCCCCUCCCGUUUUUGGGGGUCUCCCAUGGUGCCCCCUCCCCACAGAGCUCCGAGGGCCCCUGAGGUGGCUCCUGUUCCACCGGCCGGUGCCCCUGACCCAGGACGGCCCCAGAGAGUCUGGGGGGUUCUGAGGGGCAAUUUUGGGGGGCAUUUUUGGUAUUUGGGGGCAAUUUUGGGAGGGUUUUUGGGGAUUUUGGGAGGGCGUUUUUAGAGCUUUGGAGGGUUUUGAUGGAAGUUGAGGGGCUAUUAGUGGGGAUUCAGAGAGAAUUAUUGUGUUUCGGGGUUUAUGGGAUUUUGGGAGUUUUGUGGCUUUGGGGAGUUUUGGAUUUUGGGGGAUUUUAUUGGGGUUGGGGGUUGAUUUUUGAGGGGGUUUAGUGAAAUUUUGGGGAGUUUUUUUGAGUUUGGGUGGGUUUCACUUGGAUUUGGUGGGAUUCUCUGGGGUUUUGGAGGAUCUUAUUGUAAUUUCUUGAGGAAUGUGGGAUUUUUAGUGGAAUUUGUGGGGCAUUUGGGAGUCUGGGGCCUUUGGGUUGUCCCAGGGUUUGCAGAAGGGCUGAGAGGCAUUAAAAUCUCCUUAAAAGCCCCAAAAGUCCCAAUAAAACUCAUGAAAUCCGAAAUAAAUCUCGCAAAAUCCCAUUAGAACACCCUAGAAUCCCAAUAAAAGCCCACAAAAUCUUUUGAAAUCCCAAUAACACCCAAAAUCCUAAUGAAACCCCACAAAUCCGCCCCAAAAAAUGUCCCCUAAAAAAUCUUGCAAAAUCUCCCCCAAGACCCAAAGAAAUCAGAGCAACACCCAAAAAUCCCAACAAAACUUCUCUAAAUCCCACCAAAACUCCCAAAAAACCCCAAAUUGCCAAAAAACCCAAAUCCCAAAUACAUCCCACUAAAUGCCUCCAAAAUUCCAAUAAAUACCUCAAAAUCUCCUAAAAAUCCCAAUAAAACCCCCAGAAUUUAUGAGAAUUGCAAAAACCCCCAACAAAAUCCCAGUAAAACCUCCCAAAAUACAAAAAAAAAACCAACCAAAAUUUUCAAUAAACCCCCAAACACCCCCAGAAGAACACCCCCCCCAAAGCGCCAAUAAAACCCCCAAAAUCCAAACCCCCCAAAAUCCACAAACCCCCCAACAUCUCCCACCUUGUCCCAGCAUGUCUGCAGUCAUUCCCAGGCGCUGCCAGGGGCCCCAGGACGGUGUCAGUUCUCCCAGUGUGAUCCCCCAGUCAUGCCCAGAAUAUCCCAGCUGCCUCCAGCAUGCAUCCAGUCCUGCCCAGUUCCUCCAGUUUGCUUGCAGCGUGAUCCCAGUUUCUCUCAGGAUUUCCAUUGCCAACCCCCAUUGAGGCUGUGAGGAAAAUGCCCCAGAACAUGCAAACAGAGCAGGAGCUGAGCAUGGAGAGCAGGGAGGACAAAUCCCCGCGGCAGAACCUCGUGGCAGAGGCCGUUUUGAGCGGCUCCACGGCGCAGGAAGCCAACGGGGAGGAAAAGCCCCGGAGAUCCUGCACGAGGAGGGGCUGCAAACGCAGCCCAGGUUGCUCUGAGGAGUAAAGAUCCACCCUGUGCCAGGAAGGUGGACAGAGCUUCAGCCAGAGCUUGGAGCUGGUGGUCCAUGAGCAGGUUCCUGAUGGGGAGAAGCCUCACAGGUGCUUGGAG
This is a long non-coding RNA of Passer domesticus (house sparrow), 1705 nucleotides long. RefSeq lists it as uncharacterized. The record is from RefSeq and is a predicted model, not a curated record. The transcript is spliced from 3 exons. NCBI's taxonomy places the organism in Eukaryota, Metazoa, Chordata, Aves, Passeriformes, Passeridae.